AGAGUUUGAUCCUGGCUCAGGAUGAACGCUAGCGGCAGGCCUAACACAUGCAAGUCGAGGGGUAACGAUGGCUUCGGCCAGGCGACGACCGGCGCACGGGUGAGUAUCGCGUUUGUAACCUACCUCUAACUGGAAGAUAGCCCGAAGAAAUUCGGAUUAAUAUUCCAUAAUACUAUGAACUGGCAUCUUUUUAUAGUUAAAGCUCCGGCGGUUAGAGAUGGGCAUGCGUGACAUUAGUUUGUUGGUGAGGUAACGGCUCACCAAGACUACGAUGUCUAGGGGGUCUGAGAGGAUGGUCCCCCACACUGGUACUGAGACACGGACCAGACUCCUACGGGAGGCAGCAGUGAGGAAUAUUGGUCAAUGGGCGCAAGCCUGAACCAGCCAUGCCGCGUGAAGGAUGACGGCGCUACGCGUUGUAAACUUCUUUUGUACAGGAAGAAACACUCUGACGUGUCAGAGCUUGACGGUACUGUACGAAUAAGCAUCGGCUAACUCCGUGCCAGCAGCCGCGGUAAUACGGAGGAUGCAAGCGUUAUCCGGAUUUAUUGGGUUUAAAGGGUACGUAGGCGGAAAAUUAAGUCAGUGGUGAAAUCCUGCAGCUUAACUGUAGAACUGUCAUUGAUACUGGUUUUCUUGAAUGUAGUUGAGGUAGGCGGAAUGUGUAAUGUAGCGGUGAAAUGCUUAGAUAUUACACAGAACACCGAUUGCGAAGGCAGCUUACUAAGCUACGAUUGACGCUGAGGUACGAAAGCGUGGGGAGCGAACAGGAUUAGAUACCCUGGUAGUCCACGCUGUAAACGAUGAUCACUCGUUGUUGGCGAUACAUUGUCAGCGACUGAGCGAAAGCAUUAAGUGAUCCACCUGGGGAGUACGAUCGCAAGAUUGAAACUCAAAGGAAUUGACGGGGGCCCGCACAAGCGGAGGAACAUGUGGUUUAAUUCGAUGAUACGCGAGGAACCUUACCUGGGCUUAAAUGUAGAACGACGGAUCGGGAAACUGAUCUUUCUUCGGACGGACUGCAAGGUGCUGCAUGGCUGUCGUCAGCUCGUGCCGUGAGGUGUCGGGUUAAGUCCCAUAACGAGCGCAACCCUCAUCAUUAGUUGCCAGCGGGUAAUGCCGGGGACUCUAGCGGGACUGCCGGUGUUAAACCGGAGGAAGGCGGGGAUGACGUCAAGUCCUCAUGGCCUUUAUGCCCAGGGCUUCACACGUGCUACAAUGGCAGGUACAGAGCGACGCGAUACCGCGAGGUGGAGCAAAUCGCAAAAAACCUGCCCCAGUUCAGAUUGCAGGCUGGCAACUCGCCUGCAUGAAGUUGGAAUCGCUAGUAAUCGCGUAUCAGCGAUGACGCGGUGAAUGUGUUCCUGAGCCUUGUACACACCGCCCGUCAAGUGAUGGAAGCUGGGAGUACCCGAAGUCGGAUUGCUAACUUUCGAGAGGCGUCUGCCGACGGUAAGCUCGGUGACUGGCACUAAGUCGUAACAAGGUAACC
This 1492-nucleotide ribosomal RNA is filed under the name uncultured bacterium. RNAcentral's name for it is "bacterial SSU rRNA". It matches the Rfam family "Bacterial small subunit ribosomal RNA". The record is from RNAcentral.